GCGCCCUUCGUCUAUCGGUUAGGACGUCAGGUUUUCAACCUGAAAAGAGGGGUUCGAUUCCCCUAGGGCGUACCA
RNAcentral lists this transfer RNA (75 nucleotides) under Paracoccaceae bacterium. RNAcentral's name for it is "Rhodobacteraceae bacterium (hydrothermal vent metagenome) tRNA-Glu". It matches the Rfam family "tRNA". Rfam says of the family: Transfer RNA (tRNA) molecules are approximately 80 nucleotides in length. RNAcentral also lists the same sequence under 2 other names. Lineage: Bacteria; Pseudomonadati; Pseudomonadota; Alphaproteobacteria; Rhodobacterales; Paracoccaceae. The record is from RNAcentral.